CUGGGUCCAACCUCCCACCCGUGUUUAUUAUACCUUGUUGCUUCGGCGGGCCCGCCGUAAGGCCGCCGGGGGGCUUCUGCCCCCGGGCCCGCGCCCGCCGAAGACAUCUCGAACUCUGUCUGAAGAUUGUAGUCUGAGUAUAAAUAUAAAUUAUUUAAAACUUUCAACAACGGAUCUCUUGGUUCCGGCAUCGAUGAAGAACGCAGCGAAAUGCGAUACGUAAUGUGAAUUGCAGAAUUCAGUGAAUCAUCGAGUCUUUGAACGCACAUUGCGCCCUCUGGUAUUCCGGAGGGCAUGCCUGUCCGAGCGUCAUUGCUGCCCUCAAGCACGGCUUGUGUGUUGGGCCCCGUCCUCCGAUCCCGGGGGACGGGCCCGAAAGGCAGCGGCGGCACCGCGUCCGGUCCUCGAGCGUAUGGGGCUUUGUCACCCGCUCUGUAGGCCCGGCCGGCGCUUGCCGAUCAACCAAAUUUUUAUCCRGGUUGACCUCGGAUCAGGUAGGGAUACCCGCUGAACUUAAG
Molecule: ribosomal RNA, 518 nt
Filed under: Penicillium raistrickii
Lineage: Eukaryota; Fungi; Ascomycota; Eurotiomycetes; Eurotiales; Aspergillaceae
Description: eukaryotic LSU rRNA
Source: RNAcentral